UGAGGAAUAUUGGACAAUGGGCGCAAGCCUGAUCCAGCCAUGCCACGUGCAGGAAGAAGCAUCUAUGGUGUGUAAACUGCUUUUGUACGGGAAGAAACACUCCUACGUGUAGGAGCUUGACGGUAUCGUAAGAAUAAGGAUCGGCUAACUCCGUGCCAGCAGCCGCGGUAAUACGGAGGAUCCAAGCGUUAUCCGGAAUCAUUGGGUUUAAAGGGUCCGUAGGCGGUUUAAUAAGUCAGUGGUGAGAGCCCAUCGCUCAACGAUGGAACGGCCAUUGAUACCGUUAGACUUGAAUUACAAGGAAGUAACUAGAAUAUGUAGUGUAGCGGUGAAAUGCUUAGAUAUUACAUGGAAUACCAAUUGCGAAGGCAGGUUACUACUUGUGGAUUGACGCUGAUGGACGAAAGCGUGGGGAGCGAACA
This 422-nucleotide ribosomal RNA is filed under the name uncultured bacterium. Its description in RNAcentral is "bacterial SSU rRNA". It matches the Rfam family "Bacterial small subunit ribosomal RNA", at positions 355 to 774 of the family's 1533-position model. The record is from RNAcentral.